RNAcentral lists this long non-coding RNA (1024 nucleotides) under Salmo salar (Atlantic salmon). RNAcentral describes it as "lncRNA (ENSSSAG00000089788.1)". The record is from RNAcentral. Lineage: Eukaryota; Metazoa; Chordata; Actinopteri; Salmoniformes; Salmonidae.
CUCCCAUUUUGGCUGUAGUGUUUCCAAGUGCAUGGAGGAAAGCACAUUCUUUCUUAUUUAUCUCCGGUAAUGAACAUACUAUUCUCCGUCUUAAAUGUUAUCGUUUAUUUGCGUAGUAGGAUACCUAAGGUUUGAUUAUAAACGUUGUUUGACUUGUUUGGAAAAGUUUAUUAGUAACGUUUGGGAUUCAUUUGUAUGCAUUUUGAUGGAGGGAAACUGAGUGGAUUAUUGACUGAAGCGCGCCAGCUAAACUGAGUUUUUAUGGAUAUAAAGAAGGACAUUAUCGAACAAAGGACCAUCUGUGAUGUAACUGGGACCUUUUGGAGUGCCAACAGAAGAAGAUCAAAGAGAAUAAUGGCAUUGGAAGGAAACGAGACCCAUCACAUCCUCGUGUUUGUGGAUGAAGCUGGCUUCAACCUGGCCAAGGGCCGAAGACGUGGCCGUAAUAUUGUUGGCCACCGGGCCACGGCGGAUGUCCCAGGCCAGCGAGGGGGCAAUAUAACUAUGUGUGCUGCCAUAUCUGAGAAUGGUGUGGCCACUCACAUCCCCAGUCUUGGCCCAUACAAUACACAGAAGCUCCUCAUCUUCUUGGACCGCCUUCAUUUUGAUUUGAUCCCUGAAAAUGAGAGAGGUCUCGUAGGACCUCACCUACCACAAUAUGUCAUUGUAUGGGACAAUGUGAAUUUCCACCGUGGCCCGCUCAUCAGGGCCUGGUUCACUACUCAUCCAAGGAUGGUCAUGGUGUUCCUUACUCUCCUUUCCUCAAUCCUAUUGAGGAGUAUUUCUCCGCUUGGAGGUGGAGAGUGUAUGAGCAUCGGGCUCAAGAUCAGAGGUCCCUGCUCCAUGCAUUGGACGCUGCAUGUGAGGAUAUUACAGGAGAUCAGUGUAGGGGAUGGUUGCGACAUGCACGCCGUUUCUUCCCUCGUUGCAUCGCAAGGGAGAAUAUACGCUGUGAUGUGGACGAGAAUCUGUGGCCAGACAGACAGCAGCGUGUGGAUGGCCAGGAGGGUGAGGAUGGUGGUCA